This 429-nucleotide ribosomal RNA is filed under the name Gemmatimonadota bacterium. RNAcentral describes it as "Gemmatimonadetes bacterium partial 16S ribosomal RNA". It matches the Rfam family "Bacterial small subunit ribosomal RNA", at positions 355 to 776 of the family's 1533-position model. The record is from RNAcentral. Lineage: Bacteria; Pseudomonadati; Gemmatimonadota.
UAGGGAAUCUUCGGCAAUGGACGAAAGUCUGACCGAGCAACGCCGCGUGAGUGAAGAAGGUUUUCGGAUCGUAAAACUCUGUUGUUAGAGAAGAACAAGGACGUUAGUAACUGAACGUCCCCUGACGGUAUCUAACCAGAAAGCCACGGCUAACUACGUGCCAGCAGCCGCGGUAAUACGUAGGUGGCAAGCGUUGUCCGGAUUUAUUGGGCGUAAAGCGAGCGCAGGCGGUUUCUUAAGUCUGAUGUGAAAGCCCCCGGCUCAACCGGGGAGGGUCAUUGGAAACUGGGGGACUUGAGUGCAGAAGAGGAGAGUGGAAUUCCAUGUGUAGCGGUGAAAUGCGUAGAUAUAUGGAGGAACACCAGUGGCGAAGGCGGCUCUCUGGUCUGUAACUGACGCUGAGGCGCGAAAGCGUGGGGAGCAAACAGG